AUUGAACGCUGGCGGCAGGCCUAACACAUGCAAGUCGAGCGAGCGGCGGACGGGUGAGUAAUGUAUGGGGACUGCCCGAUAGAGGGGGAUAACUACUGGAAACGGUGGCUAAUACCGCAUACUGUCGGAUAACCCAUAUGGGAUUAGCUAGUAGGUAAGGUAAUGGCUUACCUAGGCGACGAUCCCUAGCUGGUCUGAGAGGAUGAUCAGCAACACUUGGGCUGGGACACGGGCCAGAAUCCUACGGAGGGAGCAGUGGGGAAUAUUGGCAAAUGGGCGAAAACCUGAUGCAGCCAUGCCGCGUGUAUGAAGAAAGCCCUAGGGUUGUAAAGUAAUUUCAGUCGGGAGGCGGUAGCGAAAGAAGAAGCACCGGCUAAAUCCGUGCCAGCAGCCGCGGUAAUAC
RNAcentral lists this ribosomal RNA (403 nucleotides) under uncultured bacterium. Its description in RNAcentral is "partial 16S ribosomal RNA". It matches the Rfam family "Bacterial small subunit ribosomal RNA", at positions 30 to 526 of the family's 1533-position model. The record is from RNAcentral.